UACGUAGGUGGCAAGCGUUGUCCGGAUUUAUUGGGCGUAAAGCGCGCGCAGGUGGUGCGGUAAGUCUGCCGUGAAAUCUCCCGGCUCAACUGGGAGGGGGCGGUGGAGACUGCCGGACUAGAGGGACUCAGAGGCCGGUGGAAUUCCCGGUGUAGUGGUGAAAUGCGUAGAGAUCGGGAGGAACACCAGUGGCGAAGGCGGCCGGCUGGGGGUGCCCUGACGCUGAGGCGCGAAAGCGUGGGGAGCGAACCGG
This 253-nucleotide ribosomal RNA is filed under the name uncultured bacterium. Its description in RNAcentral is "partial 16S ribosomal RNA". It matches the Rfam family "Bacterial small subunit ribosomal RNA", at positions 524 to 776 of the family's 1533-position model. The record is from RNAcentral.